AUUGAACGCUGGCGGCAUGCUUUACACAUGCAAGUCGAACGGCAGCGCGGGCUUCGGCCUGGCGGCGAGUGGCGAACGGGUGAGUAAUACAUCGGAACGUGCCCAGUAGUGGGGGAUAGCUCGGCGAAAGCCGGAUUAAUACCGCAUACGACCUGAGGGUGAAAGCGGGGGAUCUUCGGACCUCGCGCUAUUGGAGCGGCCGAUGGCAGAUUAGCUAGUUGGUGGGGUAAAGGCCUACCAAGGCGACGAUCUGUAGCUGGUCUGAGAGGACGACCAGCCACACUGGGACUGAGACACGGCCCAGACUCCUACGGGAGGCAGCAGUGGGGAAUUUUGGACAAAGGGCGAAAGCCUGAUCCAGCAAUGCCGCGUGUGUGAUGAAGGCCUUCGGGUUGUAAAGCACUUUUGGUGGGAACGAAAAGGACUGUGCCAAUACCACGGUUCGAUGACGGUACCCGCAGAAUAAGCACCGGCUAACUACGUG
Molecule: ribosomal RNA, 484 nt
Filed under: uncultured bacterium
Lineage: Bacteria
Description: partial 16S ribosomal RNA
Rfam family: Bacterial small subunit ribosomal RNA
Source: RNAcentral